This is a non-coding RNA of Scytonema hofmannii PCC 7110, 223 nucleotides long. It matches the Rfam family "HNH endonuclease-associated RNA and ORF (HEARO) RNA". The record is from Rfam. Lineage: Bacteria; Bacillati; Cyanobacteriota; Cyanophyceae; Nostocales; Scytonemataceae.
GUAAGCAAUCCUCGGCUAAAGACCGAGGGCUUCAGCAAAAGUUGAAGCCCUAGCUUACCAGACUCAGUACUUCGCGUACUACGUUCAGAGUAAGUGUUAAAGUUCCUACCUAUGGAUGCGUAGCUAGUCUGUAGCUCUAGAACCAAAAGAUUAAACAGGUGUAUGGGUUAAACCAGUGUCUUUUGGAUGUGCCGAUUCUGAACAUUGUCGAAGCUAACAUUAC